AGUUUUUUCCUGGCCAGAACGAACGCUGGCGGCAUGCCUAACACAUGCAAGUCGAACGCGUCCUUCGGGACGAGUGGCGCACGGGUGCGUAACGCGUGGGAAUCUGCCCCAGGGUACGGAAUAACUCAGGGAAACUUGAGCUAAUACCGUAUGAUGUCGAAAGACCAAAGAUUUAUCGCCCUGGGAUGAGCCCGCGUGGGAUUAGCUAGUUGGUGGGGUAAAGGCCUACCAAGGCGACGAUCCCUAGCUGGUCUGAGAGGAUGAUCAGCCACACUGGGACUGAGACACGGCCCAGACUUCUACGGGAGGCAGCAGUGGGGAAUAUUGGACAAUGGGCGAAAGCUUGAUCCAGCAAUGCCGCGUGAGUGAAGAAGGCCUUCGGGUUGUAAAGCUCUUUUGCCCGGGAUGAUAAUUACAGUACCGGGAGAAUAAGCCCCGGCUAACUCCGUGCCAGCAGCCGCGGUAAUACGGAGGGGGCUAGCGUUUUUCGUAAUUACUGGGCGUAAAGGGACGUAGGGGUCUUUUAAGUUAGAGGUGAAGGCCCGGGGCUAACUCCGAAUUUCUUUUAAACUGGAUGCUAG
Molecule: ribosomal RNA, 581 nt
Filed under: uncultured bacterium
Lineage: Bacteria
Description: bacterial SSU rRNA
Rfam family: Bacterial small subunit ribosomal RNA
Source: RNAcentral